UGGGCAGUACCUUCGAAUAUUGACCAAAUUAUUCCUUAGUUGUAUGAGGAUCGUCACUUGGGUGUUCUAGAACUUCUUAAUGUUAACAACGAUUAAUCUGGUAAUAGUUUCUCAGAUAAUCCUUGCCAUUUUUGCAUAUUUUUUGGGGUUAACCCUUUUUUUUUGGUAUUGUGUAGGCAAUUUGCUUUGGCUAGGUUAAAAAGGCCCAACGAAGGUGUUGGGGACUCUGAGAGGAAACGACUGAAAAGCGAGUCAUCUUGGUAAGAGCCUUUUGCAAGGUCUGGGGGAAUAGCUAUCGAUGACUUCACAGGUUUUGUCCCUCACCUCCGACGACCAAUUGCUUCCAGUGAGGCUUUACCCAAGGCUACUCUUGGCAGGUCCUUGCCAAAAAACUUAGCGCAAACAACAGGAGCUGCCAUUAGCACUCUCGCUAGUGUGGGGUACACACCUUCAGAAGAUGUACCUCAAAGCGAGAGAGACCAAUGGAAAAAGAGAAAGAGGAUUUUUUCGCAUAGAUUCAUGAGCGAGAUAGGAGGAUUUGUUAGUUAGAGGCACAACUUUACGUUGUCAAUAAAAGGUUGGAGAGGCGGACCCAAUCUUUGAAGGAAGAAAAAAACUCGUCGAAGGGAAGAAAUGGAAAAACUGUUAGAGGCCGAGAAGGUCAUGGAUAUCGUGGAAGCAGUCAUUCAUAUUACCAGUAUGCAGGAAAUUCCGUCGUUAUUUCGGGAAGCAGGUAUACAAUAGGGGUGCUCUCACAGGAAUCCAUUUCUACACCCUGAAGAUGAUACAACCAAGGCAGGACCAUCCGGGGGAGCUGCUGCAGAUGGUGCUGUCAGCAAGGAUGUUUCCAGCUAUUAUGAUGAUGGUGACGACGGCGUUGAUCUUGGUACCUCUCCUGACAAAGGGAAAGGUCCCGCAGAUCUAAACACUUCUUUUGACAAGGGAAAAGGUCGCGUUGUAAAAUAAC
RNAcentral lists this long non-coding RNA (967 nucleotides) under Gossypium barbadense (sea-island cotton). RNAcentral describes it as "long non-coding RNA (GBAR_LNC018295)". Lineage: Eukaryota; Viridiplantae; Streptophyta; Magnoliopsida; Malvales; Malvaceae. The record is from RNAcentral.